CCAGAGUUUUCAAACAGGGACAAGUUUCAAACAAGUUUCAAACAGGGUUUUAGCACAGAGUUAAUUAACAAAUAUUUUACAAUAAUUAUCCAUUCCAAGUUAUGUUUGGCAGCUCCUUCUGCCUCGGGUGAUGUCCGAACUCUCCCCACCCUAACUCUCAAGGGAGCCAGAACCAGAGAGUGCAAAUCAAGUGGGGGAAUCCAGCUGCUUCUAUGGACCCGAGACGUGGGAGCCGCUAUCGCCAUCUGCUGGUUUCUUCUAGAACUGCCGGCUCCCCUAGGCAGGUAACUGCUCUCAUCUCCUCUGGUGAAGCCUUCAGGACACAGAAUCCGGAUGAUCAUCUUUGCCUGUUAAUCCAAUCCUGGAGGAGGAAAAACAUCCCAAUGAUGGUGCCAGAGUCUCAGUCCCAUGGCAGUGCCCCAUCACCGCCAAGGACGAAAUGCAUGAGGGUACUUGAAAUGGAGCAGUGUCCACAUCUGCGGAUUCCACUUCUGUGCGGGCUCUUAGCGGGGUAUGGCCUCUGCUCAGGGGCCAUCCCUCCAGCCACCUUUGUCCAUAGGUCCUCCCCUUCAGCCUCCUCCAGCCCCAGUGUUAAGGGUUGAACUGUAUUCCCCCCAAAGUCACGUGUUGAAGCCCUAACCCCCAGGACUUCACUCAGAAUGUGGGGUCUUUGCAGAGAUAAUCAAGUUGAAAUAAGGUCUUUCCAGGGAGACCCUAAUCCAGUAUGUCUAUGACCUUAAAAAAAAAGAAAUCUGCACCCAGAGACACACAUAGCGGGAGAAUGAUGUAAAGAGACCCAGGCAGAAGGCGCCAUGUGCACGGCAGGGACAGAGUCCAGGAGCAGACUCCCCUCGGGGCUCUCAGAAGGACCCAGCACUGCCCACCCCAGACUUGGACUUCCUGUCUCUGGAAGUGAUGUGAUAAUGGCCCUGUGUAAGCCCCAGUCAGCGCUGUGUUACGCAACCCCGGCCCUUCCUCACUGGGUCCCUUGAGAAUGUGCCUUCCAAUGACCCACGUGCUCCCCUCUUGACUUCCCUGCUUACAACCAGCAGAGUGACUCCUGCAUCCCAACCCCUGCAACCCUCUCAGCGGCUUUCCAAUCUGAGACAAGCCUCCCCCAGGUGACCAACACAGUCCCCGAGAGGCGAGCCCUGGUUCCUGACACAGGCACAUGCAUUGUGGGCAGACCUGAGAGUGUGUCAACACCUUACUGAUCCGGGAAAGCAGCUGUAGAAGCCACACCUGGCUGGAGUGACUUGAGGACACAAGAGUUCUGGAUGUGAGGAGGUGGAUACUGUGAGCCAGACAGCUGGGGUGCCAGGAGAGAGGUCAGCGUGGAGGCUGAUGCUGGUGAGAAUGACAGAGGGAGCAGCCUUUAAUAAAUAUUGAUGAAGAACUGAUAAAUGAACGAAUUAAUGAGCCAAAUGUUAUUCCCAUGUGUGCUGUUGUCUGCCCCGCAGGAUGCAGCACGCAUCAUAAUAAUGAGCUGCACACAGAGGGAUGGGAAAUGGCGCCAACACACCAAUCUGCUCCCAUCUCUGAGCUACA
This is a long non-coding RNA of Heterocephalus glaber (naked mole-rat), 1548 nucleotides long. The record is from Ensembl. Lineage: Eukaryota; Metazoa; Chordata; Mammalia; Rodentia; Bathyergidae.